Molecule: long non-coding RNA, 645 nt
Organism: Brassica rapa (field mustard)
Lineage: Eukaryota; Viridiplantae; Streptophyta; Magnoliopsida; Brassicales; Brassicaceae
Source: RefSeq, a predicted model, not a curated record
UUAUCAUGUGGAGUUGGCAAUCGCUGACAGCACAGUUGAAGGUGCAUUCGUGUGUUUUGAUGGUGUGAUGACUAAGCUGCAUAACCUCCGAGCAAGUGAAGCCGGUCAGUGUUGGCUGAGGAAGGAGUAAGUCCUGAGGACUCUUAGGUGCCGCUGUUUAUCACAGACAUGGAAGGAAAAACAUUCACCUUCCAGGUCAGAGUUAGCACGUUUAACUUCACUGCACACCAUUAGACCUCACCAUCACCCGCAUCCUUAAGGAGCAUGAGCGUGUUCCAGUUCCUGACUUUGUCGUUAAGGGGAGAAACGAUGGUGAUGAUGCUGACAUGGCAGAUGGUGGUCUGGUUCCUGUUCGUGUUGAAACUGGAGAAGGCAGUAGUGAUGCAGAUAAGAAUACUGAUGCGAAACCAGGCGAUGCUUCGGCGAAGAAGAGGACCCACUCAUCUACCAAGAUGGCCAAGAAAGUGGAUACCAGCAGUUAUGGUUUCAUGUUCCAAGUUUAAAUACUUCUUAUUUAUCUGCAGUACUUUCGCACCUUUGAUUAUCUUUGUUUCAGUCAAUAAUAAAAAACUAUUUCAAUUUAUUCCCUCUUAUAUAGUUUUUUCAAUUCUUUUAACUGAAAUAAAAGUGGAAAAUCCAUUAGAA